AUUGAACGCUGGCGGCAUGCCUUACACAUGCAAGUCGAACGGUAGCGGGCCUUCGGGUGCCGACGAGUGGCGAACGGGUGAGUAAUACAUCGGAACGUGCCCGAUCGUGGGGGAUAACGAGGCGAAAGCUUUGCUAAUACCGCAUACGAUCUACGGAUGAAAGCAGGGGACCGCAAGGCCUUGCGCGGACGGAGCGGCCGAUGGCAGAUUAGGUAGUUGGUGGGAUAAAAGCUUACCAAGCCGACGGUCUGUAGCUGGUCUGAGAGGAUGAUCAGCCACACUGGGACUGAGACACGGCCCAGACUCCUACGGGAGGCAGCAGUGGGGAAUUUUGGACAAUGGGCGCAAGCCUGAUCCAGCCAUGCCGCGUGCAGGAUGAAGGCCUUCGGGUUGUAAACUGCUUUUGUACGGAACGAAAAGCCUUCUUUUAAUACAGGAGGGUCAUGACGGUACCGUAAGAAUAAGCACCGGCUAACUACGUG
RNAcentral lists this ribosomal RNA (482 nucleotides) under uncultured bacterium. RNAcentral describes it as "partial 16S ribosomal RNA". It matches the Rfam family "Bacterial small subunit ribosomal RNA", at positions 30 to 507 of the family's 1533-position model. The record is from RNAcentral.